RNAcentral lists this ribosomal RNA (465 nucleotides) under Vreelandella stevensii. RNAcentral describes it as "partial 16S ribosomal RNA". It matches the Rfam family "Bacterial small subunit ribosomal RNA", at positions 338 to 795 of the family's 1533-position model. Lineage: Bacteria; Pseudomonadati; Pseudomonadota; Gammaproteobacteria; Oceanospirillales; Halomonadaceae. The record is from RNAcentral.
CCUACGGGAGGCAGCAGUGGGGAAUAUUGGACAAUGGGGGGAACCCUGAUCCAGCCAUGCCGCGUGUGUGAAGAAGGCCCUCGGGUUGUAAAGCACUUUCAGUGAGGAAGAACGCCUGGUGGUUAAUACCCAUCAGGAAAGACAUCACUCACAGAAGAAGCACCGGCUAACUCCGUGCCAGCAGCCGCGGUAAUACGGAGGGUGCGAGCGUUAAUCGGAAUUACUGGGCGUAAAGCGCGCGUAGGUGGCUUGAUAAGCCGGUUGUGAAAGCCCCGGGCUCAACCUGGGAACGGCAUCCGGAACUGUCAAGCUAGAGUGCAGGAGAGGAAGGUAGAAUUCCCGGUGUAGCGGUGAAAUGCGUAGAGAUCGGGAGGAAUACCAGUGGCGAAGGCGGCCUUCUGGACUGACACUGACACUGAGGUGCGAAAGCGUUGGUAGCAAACAGGAUUAGAUACCCUGGUAGUC